RNAcentral lists this long non-coding RNA (6704 nucleotides) under Sus scrofa (pig). RNAcentral's name for it is "lncRNA (ENSSSCG00000057257.1)". The record is from RNAcentral. Lineage: Eukaryota; Metazoa; Chordata; Mammalia; Artiodactyla; Suidae.
AAAUGGUAAACUGCUAUAAGUUCUUACCACACUUAAAAAUAAAAUUAAAACAAGAAAAGCCUUCAAUACCAUCAUCUAUUUAUAGCUUUAUAUGUACCUGAGAAAAUUUAAAUGCAUACGUUUGUUGAUAUAAACAUGUAUUUGACCUAUUCAUGCGUAGACAAAUGUAUGGCUCAUUUGUGGACAAAUAACCACCUCAUCUUUAUAGUAAGGAGUACAGAAUAUGAAAUUCCCAGGCCAGGGAUCAGAUCCAAGCUGCAGUUGUGACCUAUGGUGCAGCUGUGGCAGCACCAGAUACUUUAACCCACGUGCCAGGCCAGGGAUCCAAUGUGCAUUCUUGGCGCUACAGAGAGGCCUCUGAGAUCCCAUUGUACCAUGGCAGGAACUCCUAUAUUUAUAUUUUUAAAUAAAAUAUUUAAGUUGGUUUUAGAGUAAAAAGCUUAAAUACAUAUAUAGAAAUAAUAUAAUUUCAAUAAUUAUAACUAAAAUACAUACUAUUAUUUAAAUAUAAAACAUAUUUAGCAGGGUUUAAAGAAUAUAAAUAUUUUGCAGAAUGAUGAACUGAAAAAUAGAAAUAAGAUUAUUUGUAAUCAGAAUAAGUUUUUAGAGAGUUGAAGUAAUUUUCUACAUAAUUUAAAAAUCACUGCUGUUGAAAAGCAUUCUUUGCACUGAUUAAUCCCUGUUCACAGUCUACAUUGAUCAAAUCCAUUGGACAAUUGUAUAAUUUCUUCUUCACCUUUACUCUAUAGCCAGAGAAUGAGUUUAAUCCUCUCAUAUUAAACAAAUCAACUUGAGAAUUCCAACUUUUGUUUAUUAUCCGUCUAUUGCAAUGAGUAAUAUCUGACCACAGUUAACUGAUUUAUCUCUUUAUUUCUUUUUAACUCUUCCUGAUAACAAGGAUUCUAUCAUGUACUGAGGAUGAAGACAUGUUUCUUAAGAUAUUGAGACCCAAUUCUUAAUUUUUAGAAUCUACUGUUUUUGUGUGUAUGAGACAAAAGCUGUACUGUAACAUUUCCCUUAUACUCAACCCCAUCUCAUCAGUAGUAUACAAAAAAUAUAAAGGAGAAAAAUUUUUAAAUUACCUUUCAGGAGUAAUUAUUUUCCAACUGCCUGUUGGAAUGAGUAUGGGACACAAUGUCUAACAUGGUGCUAGCCUAUGGCCUCCAUGUAAAAAGUGAACCUGAAUUCAUUUUCUCAGAAUAUAAAAGGCACUUGAUCAGGACCAAGGCAUUACAAAAGAAAUAGGGUUUCUAUUUGCAAGGAACUUGCAGUCUAGAGAUGAAGGAAGCACAAAAAUUUGCAUAUAUAUACAUAUUCUUCAGUGUAUAUAAGUAGUCUUUGAUAGAUUUCUGUAUCAUUUCUAUUAAUUAGGAAUAUUAUACACACACAUUAUAAAACAUUAAUGGGUGUAUGUAUAUAUAUGCACACAACACAACAAACUCAGCAACAAUAAAUUUUAUGUGAUGAGCAUAUAUCACUUCUAUAUUUGAAAACUACUUGGUUAAUAAUAUGAAUGCUUAAUAUGUAUUUAAUAAGCACAUAAUAAGGUUUUUAGGUUAUGUGUAGUCUUUUAUAUAUGUGGAUCUUGUGAUGGGGAAUAUGCACAAGUGGUACAAAGCAAGUGCCACGGAUCUCAAAGGGAUAGAUUUUUCUGUUAGAGGACUGGGGACUCAGGAAAGUUCCUGUUAUCGAUACAUAAGGUGGCCAUUUGAGCAGUAUACUAUAAUCAAGACUAUAAUCUCUUCUCUUGAUAUCAAGAUGAUGACCUAUCUGCCCUCUGGGAGUCCUUUUAUAUCACUCAUUAGUAGGAGCUAAUUGAAAACAUCCCAAGUUUAUGAGGUUUCGUAGCUCCCACCCUUCCAGAAAAUACUGUUUUGGGUAUCUAGCUUUGUACUCUUUUAAGGAAAGUGCUGCUUUCAGCUUUAGGGGGUUUGAAAAUAAAAUGUCUGAUAAUAAAUCAUCAGAGCAUUUCCAAAUCAUGAGAGUGGUGACAGUGGCCUUAGGAUUCCUGUCUAGAUUAGUUUAUUUUCCCCUAGAAUAAACAUUGAAACCAAAUGUGAGUUUUGCAAUAGAGGCAACCUUGUGUACAGGAAAUAGCAUGGAAUUUGAAAUCUGAAGACCUGGUUUGAGUCACAUCUCCCCCUCUGCCUAAUGGAGUGGUGGAGAACAAGCCAGUUAACUAUAUUUUCCCCAUAUCAUUCACUCAUUCAGUCAACCAAUAUUUACUGCCCACCCUGCCACGGUGGGCACUAGAAAUCAGUAAAGAGGAAAGAAAAAUCCAAUGCCUCUAUAGAUCCUAUACCUUUGUUGCAGAUGUAGCAACGACAUCAAAAUGACUAAAGAUUUACAUAAUUUUAAGGUAGUUAAAAGUGCCUGCAUAGAAAUUAGAUGUAGUAGGGGAACAGAAUGUGUAGGGAUGGGCGGGAGUGGAUUGGAGGAGGAAGUUGAUGAGCUGGUCUGGGAAAGACUUUCUGAAGUUGUGACAUUCAGGCAAAAACUGAAUCUAAGGGCGUUAAUGCUUCAGGAUGGGAACCCUGAAAUGGGAAAUACAGUUGCAAAGGCCAGGGUUGAGGAAAGAACAUCAGGUCCAGGGGAGCUAGAGUGGGUGAGAAAAACAGGGAACUGAAGGAGAUGAAGUCAAAGUGGUUGCAUUGACCUUAUCACCAGAGCCGUCUCAGAGAGGAACAGUGAACGAGGACAGUCACAGGGUACCCACUGACUCAUUCUGCAAGUGUUAGAAGCUAGCAAGGAAAUGGAGCCCUGGUGUCCUUCUCAUUGUUCAUAGCCACCUGCCUUGACCAAGUAUCUGUGUUUGGGCAGAAGAGAAUUUGGCAGUUGACAUUUUCCUUGGGAGAACUUGACAGCACCAGCCAAUUUGGGGUUCAGAGGCAGUUACAUUGUGUUCUAUACAAGGUAUUCAUUUCUUGAGAAAAAUCCAUUUUAGUUAGUAGCUGGCCAGGACAGACCAACAGCUUGUCCCUUCAUGCAGUAAGCACUUGGUGCACAAGUGUGCACUUUUGCUCUUCACCCUUGGACUGUCACAUACAAGAGCAACUCUCUGAUAACACAAGAAAACUGGAGGGAACCUUUCAUAUGCAUGGCAUGGUUUAAAGAAAGUUCUAUUUCUAAAUAUAUGUAGUAGUGCACGGACAACACAUCAUUUUACCUUUACUGUGCCCCUUCCUUCUGGGCUCAACUGCAUAUCUUGCAUCUGAUGUCAUCUCUCAUCUGCUUAACAUUUGGAGAGGUAUGAUCACUAGAGAAUGGUGUGGGAAACCAGGCUCAGACAUAAUCGCCCUUUCCCACAGACAAAAAGGGAGUAAGACUCAGUCAGUUUAGCCUUUGACAGCAUAAUGCAGGGUUGUCAGACUGGCCUCUCUUCCCAGAUCAUCACCUCCCUCCUGCUACUCUGCUAUUAGCGUUGACCUCGUUGCUCUUUCUGCUGUCACUGCUCCUCUGCCUACCUCCUCCUGCUGUCCCAGAUCACACUCUACUUUCCUGGGGCCAAUUCUCUGCCCAGAAGUGUGGGAAGAGGAGGGAGAGGCUGCGGUGCUCAUUUUCCAGGGCUACAGUCGUCUCAGUGUCUUGGUGUGGAAAUACCUGCCCAUCCACUGGCCUCCAGGCACCACGGUCCAAGAACACAGACGCUUUCAUAAGCAUCGGGCUUGCAGAGUGCAUGUGAAACCUACGCAAGUUCAAAUGGGCUUGAAAGGUUUUCAAAUAUGCUUUCCCAUCGCUAAUCUGCACAUUCAUCUGCACAUCUGGCUUGGAAAAUCUCAAGCCACAAGAUCAGCUCUUCUUAGGGUGACUGGUUUGCCACUGUAAUAAAGCCAAAUGCGAACAUGGGAGAAGUGGCUGUGAGAGGCAACUCCCAUCCCACUGACUGCCCUCUAGACAGGAGAUCUUCAUUAUGAUGAUUUUUUUUUUUGAGUUUCUGUCACUUAGACAACAUUUAAAGUGGUAUCUUAAUAAAUUGGGAGAUGAAAUGUCAGUCACCAUCCCUCAAUAUUUCAAGCACACACUGCUUUGUACAUGUAACUGAUCAUAAAAGGAAGCCAACCUCUCCAUUAGCCACUCAUCUAGGCAAAGCCUUGGUGUUGAGCCAGAACUUAAGAGUACCAACUCAAUCUUCUAUGUCCCACUGAUCUUCCUGGAUUGGAAAUGGAUGGCUAUCCCAAAGUGCACUACUAGGUGUUGGUUGCUAAUUGGAAGAGUCAUCAGAAAUCUUCCUUGAAACAGUGAUUGGGUAAGUCAUUUGGAUAUUGCUUUCAGCUCUGUUUUUUUGUACUGAGAGUUGAUGUGUUGGUUUCCCAAGAGCUAGCUUUUAAAUACACUUGCUCUUGUUUUCAUCAUGAACAUAAUCAGAUUUGUUUCUGCUUUGGAAAACUCUACCACCUGAAUCUGCAGUUGUUUUAUACAGGUGAAAUCUGAUCAAACAAUUCGUAGGGGUAAAAUUAAAGAUCCAGAGAUGGUUGGUUUGCUUCCUGGAGGACAGGAGCAGAAUGGUCCAUAUUUCAGGCUACCAGCAAGGGUCUUCCUAUGUGUUUGAUGAUUAUAUAAGUCUCUAGGAAUUUUUUUUUUAUGUCAACAGCUUGUGGCUACUUUCUUCUCUCACUCUCAUUCUUCCACUAUGUUAUUACUUUCCUGAAAUUUCAGUCCCUUGGUCAAUGGUAGGACCACCAGGAGUACAAGUUCUGACUUUAUAGGUAUAGAAUCUUCCAACCCAUGCAUCUUUAGACUUGAACUCUUCCCCCUGCUCAAGUCAUUCCAACAGUCAUUUACCAAAAGUCAGCUUAUAUUAGCAGUGGGACUAUAAAUAAAAGAUUUUAGACCUAGGUACAUUUUGGUCCCUACCUUAGUGGGUGUUCAAGUCUAGAAGAAGAGACAAAUACUUACAAGAUACUUUUAAUAAUUUCAAUAUAACAAGUUAAACAGUGAACUAGAAAUUUGCAUCCUGUGCCAUGAGGAUUCAGAGAAGAAUCCUACAGCUCAGCUUGGGUUUCAGGGAAGAUUUCUCAUGACAGAUUAUAAAUAAAUUGGGUGUUGAAGAAUAGGUAACUUUAAGAUAAGUGGGACAAGUGUUCCAGAUGGAGGGACAAGUGUAAGCAAAGACAGAGAGUGAUAAAAUGGCACAGGAUCUACAGGGAAUAAUAAACAGUUGAUAUUAUUUAAGCAUUGAGUGUGAGUCAAGAAGUAAUGAAUAAUGAUAUUGUAGAGGUUAGUGGAUAAGUGCCAGACACCAAGGGUCUUGUGGGCUAGGCAAAAGAACCUGAAUUCUACAGGUGAUGCGUAGUCCUUGAAUGUAUUUAAAUGGGGAAUAAUGUCAGAUUUAAAUUUUAGAGAGAUAAUUUUCAAAAGGUUUUGAAGUGUGGAUCCAAGGGGAUAAUACUGAAGACGGAGAUGAGUCAUGAGGCUAUUGGGUCCAGCAGAGAGAUGAUGAGUGGGCAUAAAGAGAGAGGAUAAAGUUGAGAGAUGCUGGACAUGGUGAUGAUUGGUUGAUUGGGUGUUGAGAAUUAAGGAAGAAGAAGUUGAGAUGAACUCAGAUUUCUUCAUUGUGAUGGGGAAAAUAAUGCAAUUGGAUUAAGCAUUAUAGAUGAAUGAGUGUGUUCAGAGGUGCAAUUACUAUAUGAGAGUCAGUGGAGCAGAGAGAAUCCAUGGUGCCAGAAUCAUGGAUACUGUAUCCAGUAGUGAUUUGCAGGACUGAUUUGAGAUUUCAAGGGUAGGAUUUUUAAGGUGCAAAAGCAGCUCAGCCUGAAGCUGAGAUAAAAACUUUUGGAAAGAAAAAAUAUGAAAUACCCAAAGAAAAUUCUCUGAUUUGAAACUGUUAAGAAUGGUGUUCUCCCCCGACCCCCACUCUCCCACCCCCAACCCUUGACAUUUUGUAGUCACUGUAACAUCAAAAAUGUGUUUCCUGUAAGUCCAAAUUUCCAUUGACAGCACCACAAAAAUUUAUUCUUAAAGCAUCCCUUGCUUAUCUCCAUGUUUUUCCAUUUAAUGUCAUGGAAAACUGGUCAGAAUGAAAUUUCCUUUCCACCUUCCACCUUGUAAUUUCCACUUCUUUUAAUCUCUCUGUGAUUCUGUCAGUGACCAUAUAUGUAUAUAUAAAAGCAUACCUUGUUUUGUUACUCUUUGUGGGCUUCGCAGAUGUUGCAUUUUUUACAAAUUGAAGGUUGGUCGCAAGUCUAUCGCUGAGAUUUUUUCCCAGCGGCAUUUGCCUUCUUCGUGUCUCUCUGUCCCAUUUUGGUAAUUCUUGCAAUAUUUCAAACUUCUGUAUUAUUAUUGUAUUUGUUAUUGUGAUCUGUAAUCAGUGAUCUUUGAUGUUACUAUUGCAAAAGGUUACGACUCACUGAAGGCUCAGAUGAUGGUUAGUAUUUUUUAGCAGUGAGGUAUUUUUGAAUUAAGGUAUAUACUUUCUUUAGACAUCAUGCUACUGCACACUUAAUAUACCACAGUAUAGUAUAAACAUAACUUUUUUUUUUCUUUUCUGCUUUUUAGAGCUUCACCUGGACACAUGGAAGUUCCCAGGCAAGGGGUCUAAUCAGAGCUAUAGCUGCUGGCCUAUGCCACAGCUACAGCAAAUGCCAGAUAUGAACCGUGUCUGAGACCUACACCACAACUCACAGCAAUGCCAGAUCCUUAACCUACUGAUCGAGGCCAGCGAUCAAACCUGAAACCCCAUGGUUCCUAGUCAGAUUCGUUUCUGC